This 85-nucleotide transfer RNA is filed under the name Felis catus (domestic cat). It matches the Rfam family "tRNA". Rfam says of the family: Transfer RNA (tRNA) molecules are approximately 80 nucleotides in length. Their secondary structure includes four short double-helical elements and three loops (D, anti-codon, and T loops). RNAcentral also lists the same sequence under 2 other names. The record is from Rfam by way of RNAcentral. Lineage: Eukaryota; Metazoa; Chordata; Mammalia; Carnivora; Felidae.
GCCUGGGUGGCUCAGUCGGUUAAGCGGCUGACUUCAGUUCAGGUCAUGAUCUCGCGGUCCGUGGGUUCGAGCCCCGCAUCGGGCU